RNAcentral lists this long non-coding RNA (2306 nucleotides) under Anas platyrhynchos platyrhynchos (common mallard). RNAcentral describes it as "lncRNA (ENSAPLG00000016638.1)". The record is from RNAcentral. Lineage: Eukaryota; Metazoa; Chordata; Aves; Anseriformes; Anatidae.
GGGGGCAUAUGGGGACACGGGGACACAGGGGACAUGGGGGGACAGAGGGGACAGAGGGAGAGGGAGAAAUAUAAGGGGACACGGAAUAUGGGGACACGUGGGGACACAGGGGGACAUGGGGGGACACGGGGGGUAUAAAGGGACAUGGGGGGCAUGGGGGACAUGGGGACACAAAGGGACAGGGAGAAACAUCAGGGGACAUGGAAUAAGGGGAUAUGUGGGGACACGGGGACACAGGGACAUGGGGGGACAUGUGGGAACACAGGGGGUAUAAGGGGACAUGGGGGGACACGGGGGACAUGGGAUAUGGGGACACGGGGGGACACGGGGACAUGGGGGGGCAUGUGGGGGCACAGGGGGACAAGGAGAAAUGUAAGGGGACGUGGGAUAUGGGGACAUAUGGGGACACGGGGGGAUGGGGGGACACACGCGGACAUGGGGGGAUUAGCAGGGACAUGGGGGGAUGUACAGGGAUAUGGGGACACGUUUCAGAGUUUGGGUUUUGGGGGUACAGAUCUCGGGGUUUGGGUUUUGGGGGUAUAGGUUUCAGGGUCAGGUUUUAGGGUUUGGGUUUUGGGGUUUGAGGUUCUGGGGUAUAGGUUUCGGGGUUUGGGUUUUGGGGUCUGGUUUUGGGGUCAGUUUUGGGGUCAGGUUUCGGGGUGCAGCUCACGCGGUUGUGCAGGAAGAGGCGCAGGCGGGCCCCGGGGUAAUCCCAGUCCAGAAGGCGCUGCAGGAACUGGGGCAGGAAUGGGGUGGGCUGCUCCACGAACACCCCCACCAGCACCCACGGCAGCUCCUCGUCCUGAGGGGGGGCAGCAAUGGGGCACCCCACAUCCAGGGGGCACCCCAAAGCACCCUGCAGACCCUUGUGGGCACCCCAACCCCCCCCCCAAAGCACCCCAAAACCCUAUGGCGUAGCUCACAACCCCAAAACCCUAUGGGGCAGCCCACGGCCCCAAAAGGACCCCAAAACCCUAUAGGCCACCCCACAGCCCUUAAGGGAACCCCGAAACCCUUCAAAGCACCCCAAAACCCUACGGGGCAGCCCACAGCCCCAAAGGGACUCCAAAACCCUAUAGGCCACCCCGAAGCCCCCAAGGGUAACCCGAAACCUCCCAAAAUACCCCAAAAAACCUAUGGGAUAGCCCACAGCCUCAAGGGGACCCCAAAACCCUAUAGAGUAGCCCACGGUCCCAAAAGGACCUCCAAACCCCCUCAGUACCCACAGACACCCCACAGCCCCAUGGGGCACCCCACAACCCUUAAAGCACCCCAAAACCCCAUAGACCGCCCCACAACUCCCUAAGGCACCCCAAAACCUCCCAAAACUCCCCAAAAUGCCAUGGGGCACCACACAACCCCCCAAAGCACCCCAAAAUCCUACAGACCACCCCUCACCCUCCCAUUUUUUGGGGUCACCCCAAUUUUUUGGUGUCCCCCCCAUACCACGAGACCCUUGAGGAGCCACAGGUCCCGGUUGCAGACCCCACAGCCGCCCCCCAAGGACCCCACCCCAUUUUUUGGGGUAUCCACAAUUUUUUAGGGUUUCCCCAGUUUUUGAGGAUCUCCCCUUCUUUUUGGGGUCCCCUCCCUGUUUUUUGGGGUUCCCCCCGUACCGUGAGACCCUCGAGGGGCCGCAGGUCCCGGUCGCAGUCCCCGCAGCCGCCCUCGUAGGUCCAGCCGGCCGGGAUGUAAUUCCCCAAAUAAUUCAGCUGCAGCUUUAUGGGAUUUGGGGGGGCAAUAGGAUUAGGGGGGGGGGGAAUGGGGGUGGGGGGGGGGGGUGGGGUUUGGGGGGUGGGGCCGGGGGAAAAGAACAACCUUGUCGGGGACCCCAACACCCACCCUGACCCUAUAAGGACCCCACAAAACUGUAUGAAACCCUGGCAACCCCCUGACCCUAUAAAGACCUCACAAAAUUAUAGGGGAUCCCAGUGCCCACCCACUUCCCCCUACAAACCCCACAACCUUCUAGGGGAUCCCACAAUCUCCUAGGGGAUCCCCCUGCCUCUCCCAGCCCUAUAGGAACCCCACAAAAUCAUAGGGAACCCUGGCAACCCCCUGACCCUAUAAAGACCCUACGUAAUUUUAGGGAGUCCCAGUGUCCCCCACAGCCUGCAGGACCACAGUGCCCCCACUUUCCCCUACAAACUCCACAUUCUUAUUGGGGACCCCACUGCCCCCCCCACCCCUAUAAGGACCCCCUGGCCCUAUAAGGGACCCCGCUGUACCUUUGUAGGGCCGUUCCCAUGGAUGACCACGGGCAGGGUGUCGUACGCCACGUUGCGGGCCCGCACCCGCCCCGGCUC